Non-coding RNA from Acidiferrobacter thiooxydans, 73 nucleotides. The record is from Rfam. NCBI's taxonomy places the organism in Bacteria, Pseudomonadati, Pseudomonadota, Gammaproteobacteria, Acidiferrobacterales, Acidiferrobacteraceae.
GCCCAGGUAGCUCAGUCGGUAGAGCAGAGGACUGAAAAUCCUCGUGUCGGUGGUUCGAUUCCGCCCCUGGGCA